GGUCAGAUAGCCAAGUGGUUCAGGCAGCACACCUAGCAAGCUAACACCGAGGUCCCUGGUUUGAACCCAGGUCUGAGCA
This 79-nucleotide transfer RNA is filed under the name Cronartium comandrae C4. Its description in RNAcentral is "tRNA-Ala (AGC) (tRNA-Ala-AGC-26-1)". It matches the Rfam family "tRNA". Rfam says of the family: Transfer RNA (tRNA) molecules are approximately 80 nucleotides in length. The record is from RNAcentral. Lineage: Eukaryota; Fungi; Basidiomycota; Pucciniomycetes; Pucciniales; Coleosporiaceae.